RNAcentral lists this transfer RNA (72 nucleotides) under Ovis aries (sheep). It matches the Rfam family "tRNA". Rfam says of the family: Transfer RNA (tRNA) molecules are approximately 80 nucleotides in length. The record is from Rfam by way of RNAcentral. Lineage: Eukaryota; Metazoa; Chordata; Mammalia; Artiodactyla; Bovidae.
UCCCUGGUGGCUUAGAUGGUAAAGAAUCUGCCUGCAAUGCAGGAGACCCAGGUUCAAUCCCUGGGUUGGGAA